ACCUACGGGGGGCAGCAGUGAGGAAUAUUGGUCAAUGGUCGGGAGACUGAACCAGCCAAGCCGCGUGAGGGAGGAAGGUACAGAGUAUCGUAAACCUCUUUUGUCAGGGAACAAAGGCGGGGACGUGUCCCCGGAUGAGUGUACCUGAAGAAAAAGCAUCGGCUAACUCCGUGCCAGCACCCGCGGUAAUACGGAGGAUGCGAGCGUUAUCCGGAUUUAUUGGGUUUAAAGGGUGCGCAGGCGGUCUGUUAAGUCAGCGGUCAAAGCCCGGGGCUCAACCCCGGCCCGCCGUUGAAACUGGCAGU
Molecule: ribosomal RNA, 305 nt
Filed under: uncultured bacterium
Lineage: Bacteria
Description: bacterial SSU rRNA
Rfam family: Bacterial small subunit ribosomal RNA
Source: RNAcentral